CAUUAAAGAGUUCUAUAACUCCCAAACCCAUGUGAACAUACCUAACGUUGCCUCGGCAGGUCGCACCUACCUUGUAGCACCCUACCCUGUAGGGCCUACCCGGGAGGUGCGGGUAAGCCUGCCGGCGGCCCACCAAACUCUGUUUGAUAUUGAAUUCUGAACCUAUAACUAAAUAAGUUAAAACUUUCAACAACGGAUCUCUUGGUUCUGGCAUCGAUGAAGAACGCAGCGAAAUGCGAUAAGUAAUGUGAAUUGCAGAAUUCAGUGAAUCAUCGAAUCUUUGAACGCAUAUUGCGCCCAUUAGUAUUCUAGUGGGCAGGACCGUUCGAGCGUCAUUUCAACCCUUAAGCCUUCGUUGCUUAGUGUUGGGAGCCUACGGCAACGUAGCUCCUCAAAGUUAGUGGCGGAGUUGGUUCACACUCUAGACGUAGUAAUUUUUUAUCUCGCCUAUUAGUUGGACUAAUCCCCUGCCGUAAAACCCCCAAUUUAUCAAGGUUGACCUCGAAUCGGUUCAGACAAACUCGCUAAAUUGAAGCAUCUUAGUCAGCGAAGGAAAAGAAACCAACAGGGAUUGCCCUAGUAACGGCGAGUGAAGCGGCAACAGCUCAAAUUUGAAAUCUGGCC
This 624-nucleotide ribosomal RNA is filed under the name fungal endophyte. RNAcentral describes it as "eukaryotic LSU rRNA". The stretch from base 182 to 335 matches the Rfam family "5.8S ribosomal RNA". Lineage: Eukaryota; Fungi. The record is from RNAcentral.